RNAcentral lists this ribosomal RNA (468 nucleotides) under uncultured bacterium. RNAcentral's name for it is "partial 16S ribosomal RNA". It matches the Rfam family "Bacterial small subunit ribosomal RNA", at positions 28 to 507 of the family's 1533-position model. The record is from RNAcentral.
GACGAACGCUGGCGGCGUGCUUAACACAUGCAAGUCGAACGGAAAGGCCCUGCUUUUGUGGGGUGCUCGAGUGGCGAACGGGUGAGUAACACGUGAGUAACCUGCCCUUGACUUUGGGAUAACUUCAGGAAACUGGGGCUAAUACCGGAUAGGAGCUCCUGCUGCAUGGUGGGGGUUGGAAAGUUUCGGCGGUUGGGGAUGGACUCGCGGCUUAUCAGCUUGUUGGUGGGGUAGUGGCUUACCAAGGCUUUGACGGGUAGCCGGCCUGAGAGGGUGACCGGCCACCUUGGGACUGAGAUACGGCCCAGACUCCUACGGGAGGCAGCAGGGGGGAGUAUUGCACAAUGGGCGCACGCCUGAUGCAGCAACGCCGCGUGCGGGAUGACGGCCUUCGGGUUGUAAACUGCUUUCGCCUGUGACGAAGCGUGAGUGACGGUAAUGGGUAAAGAAGCACCGGCUAACUACGUG